RNAcentral lists this ribosomal RNA (1458 nucleotides) under Cyanobium sp. JJM10D5. RNAcentral describes it as "bacterial SSU rRNA". It matches the Rfam family "Bacterial small subunit ribosomal RNA". Lineage: Bacteria; Bacillati; Cyanobacteriota; Cyanophyceae; Synechococcales; Prochlorococcaceae. The record is from RNAcentral.
GAUGAACGCUGGCGGCGUGCUUAACACAUGCAAGUCGAACGGACCUUCGGGUCAGUGGCGGACGGGUGAGUAACGCGUGAGAAUCUGCCCUCAGGAGGGGGAUAACGGCUGGAAACGGCCGCUAAUACCCCAUAUGCCGCGAGGUGAAAUGAAUUUCGCCUGAGGAUGAGCUCGCGUCUGAUUAGCUAGUUGGUGGGGUAAAGGCCUACCAAGGCGACGAUCAGUAGCUGGUCUGAGAGGAUGAUCAGCCACACUGGGACUGAGACACGGCCCAGACUCCUACGGGAGGCAGCAGUGGGGAAUUUUCCGCAAUGGGCGAAAGCCUGACGGAGCAACGCCGCGUGAGGGAUGAAGGCCUCUGGGCUGUAAACCUCUUUUCUCAAGGAAGAAGAUCUGACGGUACUUGAGGAAUAAGCCACGGCUAAUUCCGUGCCAGCAGCCGCGGUAAUACGGGAGUGGCAAGCGUUAUCCGGAAUUAUUGGGCGUAAAGCGUCCGCAGGCGGCCCUGUAAGUCUGUCGUUAAAGCGUGGAGCUCAACUCCAUUUCAGCGAUGGAAACUACAGGGCUUGAGUGUGGUAGGGGCAGAGGGAAUUCCCGGUGUAGCGGUGAAAUGCGUAGAUAUCGGGAAGAACACCAGUGGCGAAGGCGCUCUGCUGGGCCAUAACUGACGCUCAUGGACGAAAGCCAGGGGAGCGAAAGGGAUUAGAUACCCCUGUAGUCCUGGCCGUAAACGAUGAACACUAGGUGUCGGGGGAAUCGACCCCCUCGGUGUCGUAGCCAACGCGUUAAGUGUUCCGCCUGGGGAGUACGCACGCAAGUGUGAAACUCAAAGGAAUUGACGGGGGCCCGCACAAGCGGUGGAGUAUGUGGUUUAAUUCGAUGCAACGCGAAGAACCUUACCAGGGUUUGACAUCCUGCGAACCUCCUGGAAACGGGGGGGUGCCUUCGGGAGCGCAGUGACAGGUGGUGCAUGGCUGUCGUCAGCUCGUGUCGUGAGAUGUUGGGUUAAGUCCCGCAACGAGCGCAACCCACGUCGUUAGUUGCCAGCAUUCAGUUGGGCACUCUAGCGAGACCGCCGGUGAUAAACCGGAGGAAGGUGUGGAUGACGUCAAGUCAUCAUGCCCCUUACAUCCUGGGCUACACACGUACUACAAUGCUACGGACAAAGGGCAGCAAGCUCGCGAGAGUUAGCAAAUCCCAUAAACCGUGGCUCAGUUCAGAUCGUAGGCUGCAACUCGCCUACGUGAAGGAGGAAUCGCUAGUAAUCGCAGGUCAGCAUACUGCGGUGAAUACGUUCCCGGGCCUUGUACACACCGCCCGUCACACCAUGGAAGUUGGCCACGCCCGAAGUCGUUACUCCAACCCUUGUGGAGGAGGACGCCGAAGGUGGGGCUGAUGACUGGGGUGAAGUCGUAACAAGGUAGCCGUACCGGAAGGUGCGGCUGGAUCACCUCCUAA